UUAUUGGUAUUUUGAAAUUUCGCAAUUUGUUUUUCGCGGAAAAAAUAUAAGAGUAUUAAAUCUGUUUCCAAUGCGUCUGGUCGAAUGAUUCAGAAUUCUGCUCCGAAACAAGUCGGUGCAGGUUCAGUCUUGUCGAACCGGACAUACCUGGCGCAUCUUCAAAGUACCUACUGACGUGUUGCUAAGUCGAAUGUAUCGUUUGUGUUACAGAAGAUUGUCUGAUGACGUUAGUUUCGUGAUAUACAUAUAGCGGUCUUUAAUUUCAAAUGUAUCAUUCAAUUUGCUGCUGUGCCUUGAUGUAUUCUUAGUCCAAAGAGAAUAGCCAAUGAAAACAGCACAAGUCGUCUACGUUUACCAAUGGAAUUAUAGAUCUCUGGGUUUGCAGCAGCCCAUUUUUCCUUGAAUGCCAAUUUUUCUUUCUUGGGCUUAGUCUUCAAACUUUGGAUACCGGCAUAAUGCUCUUCGAUCUCUUUCAAAGAUCUUCCUUCCGUUUCUGGCAAUAUGAAGUACAGUAGAAUACCACCAACGAAAUUGAUCAAAGCAUAAAAGAAAAACGUUCCAGG
RNAcentral lists this long non-coding RNA (563 nucleotides) under Apis mellifera (honey bee). Its description in RNAcentral is "uncharacterized LOC107964843, transcript variant X2". The record is from RNAcentral. Lineage: Eukaryota; Metazoa; Arthropoda; Insecta; Hymenoptera; Apidae.